UGCUUGGGUAGCUCAGUUGGUAGAGCGCUUGUCCGCGGAAGGCAAAGGUCCCGAGUUCGAGUCUCGGUCCGGCAC
This 75-nucleotide transfer RNA is filed under the name Schistocerca americana (American grasshopper). RNAcentral describes it as "tRNA-Pro". It matches the Rfam family "tRNA". Rfam says of the family: Transfer RNA (tRNA) molecules are approximately 80 nucleotides in length. Their secondary structure includes four short double-helical elements and three loops (D, anti-codon, and T loops). The record is from RNAcentral. Lineage: Eukaryota; Metazoa; Arthropoda; Insecta; Orthoptera; Acrididae.